Molecule: ribosomal RNA, 496 nt
Filed under: uncultured Sphingobacteriales bacterium
Lineage: Bacteria; Pseudomonadati; Bacteroidota; Sphingobacteriia; Sphingobacteriales
Description: bacterial SSU rRNA
Rfam family: Bacterial small subunit ribosomal RNA
Source: RNAcentral
CCCGCUCAGAAACUUAAAGGAAUUGACGGGGGCCCGCACAAGCGGUGGAGCAUGUGGUUUAAUUCGACGAUACGCGAAGAACCUUACCCGGGUUUGACAUUGUAUCGAAGCAUCCAGAGAUGGAUGUGUCUCUUCGGAGACGGUAUGACAGGUGCUGCAUGGCUGUCGUCAGCUCGUGUCGUGAGAUGUUGGGUUAAGUCCCGUAACGAGCGCAACCCCUACCUUUAGUUGCCAUCAGGUAAUGCUGGGGACUCUAAAGGAACUGCCUACGCAAGUAGUGAGGAAGGCGGGGAUGACGUCAAAUCAGCACGGCCCUUACGUCCAGGGCUACACACGUGCUACAAUGGCCGAUACAGAGGGCAGCUACCUGGUGACAGGAUGCAAAUCUCCAAAGUCGGUCUCAGUUCGGAUCGGAGUCUGCAACCCGACUCCGUGAAGUUGGAUUCGCUAGUAAUCGCGCAUCAGCCAUGGCGCGGUGAAUACGUUCCCGGGCCUU